This 253-nucleotide ribosomal RNA is filed under the name uncultured bacterium. RNAcentral describes it as "partial 16S ribosomal RNA". It matches the Rfam family "Bacterial small subunit ribosomal RNA", at positions 524 to 776 of the family's 1533-position model. The record is from RNAcentral.
UACGUAGGGUGCGAGCGUUGUCCGGAAUUAUUGGGCGUAAAGGGCUCGUAGGCGGUCCAUCGCGUCGGGAGUGAAAAGCUGGGGCUUAACCCCAGUCCUGCUUUCGAUACGGGUGGACUAGAGGUAGGCAGGGGAGAAUGGAAUUCCUGGUGUAGCGGUGAAAUGCGCAGAUAUCAGGAGGAACACCGGUGGCGAAGGCGGGUCUCUGGGCCGAUACUGACGCUGAGGCGCGAAAGCUAGGGGAGCAAACGGG